Molecule: ribosomal RNA, 2987 nt
Filed under: Salmonella enterica subsp. enterica serovar Thompson
Lineage: Bacteria; Pseudomonadati; Pseudomonadota; Gammaproteobacteria; Enterobacterales; Enterobacteriaceae
Also listed under: 1 other name
Description: 23S ribosomal RNA
Rfam family: Bacterial large subunit ribosomal RNA
Source: RNAcentral
GGUUAAGCGACUAAGCGUACACGGUGGAUGCCCUGGCAGUCAGAGGCGAUGAAGGGCGUGCUAAUCUGCGAUAAGCGCCGGUAAGGUGAUAUGAACCGUUAUAACCGGCGAUACCCGAAUGGGGAAACCCAGUGUGACUCGUCACACUAUCAUUAACUGAAUCCAUAGGUUAAUGAGGCGAACCGGGGGAACUGAAACAUCUAAGUACCCCGAGGAAAAGAAAUCAACCGAGAUUCCCCCAGUAGCGGCGAGCGAACGGGGAGGAGCCCAGAGCCUGAAUCAGCAUGUGUGUUAGUGGAAGCGUCUGGAAAGGCGCGCGAUACAGGGUGACAGCCCCGUACACAAAAGCGCAUGUGCUGUGAGCUCGAUGAGUAGGGCGGGACACGUGGUAUCCUGUCUGAAUAUGGGGGGACCAUCCUCCAAGGCUAAAUACUCCUGACUGACCGAUAGUGAACCAGUACCGUGAGGGAAAGGCGAAAAGAACCCCGGCGAGGGGAGUGAAAAAGAACCUGAAACCGUGUACGUACAAGCAGUGGGAGCACCCUUUGGGGUGUGACUGCGUACCUUUUGUAUAAUGGGUCAGCGACUUAUAUUCUGUAGCAAGGUUAACCGAAUAGGGGAGCCGGAGGGAAACCGAGUCUUAAUUGGGCGUUAAGUUGCAGGGUAUAGACCCGAAACCCGGUGAUCUAGCCAUGGGCAGGUUGAAGGUUGGGUAACACUAACUGGAGGACCGAACCGACUAAUGUUGAAAAAUUAGCGGAUGACCUGUGGCUGGGGGUGAAAGGCCAAUCAAACCGGGAGAUAGCUGGUUCUCCCCGAAAGCUAUUUAGGUAGCGCCUCGUGAAUUCAUCUCCGGGGGUAGAGCACUGUUUCGGCUAGGGGGCCAUCCCGGCUUACCAACCCGAUGCAAACUGCGAAUACCGGAGAAUGUUAUCACGGGAGACACACGGCGGGUGCUAACGUCCGUCGUGAAGAGGGAAACAACCCAGACCGCCAGCUAAGGUCCCAAAGUCAUGGUUAAGUGGGAAACGAUGUGGGAAGGCCCAGACAGCCAGGAUGUUGGCUUAGAAGCAGCCAUCAUUUAAAGAAAGCGUAAUAGCUCACUGGUCGAGUCGGCCUGCGCGGAAGAUGUAACGGGGCUAAACCAUGCACCGAAGCUGCGGCAGCGAACGUAUCACUUAAAGCGAUUCAGCGGGUUACGAUUGACGGAGCGAAGCGACGUCAAAGCGUAUACAAAGUCGAGUCGGUUUAAGGAUACGUUCGUUGGGUAGGGGAGCGUUCUGUAAGCCUGUGAAGGUGGCCUGUGAGGGUUGCUGGAGGUAUCAGAAGUGCGAAUGCUGACAUAAGUAACGAUAAAGCGGGUGAAAAGCCCGCUCGCCGGAAGACCAAGGGUUCCUGUCCAACGUUAAUCGGGGCAGGGUGAGUCGACCCCUAAGGCGAGGCCGAAAGGCGUAGUCGAUGGGAAACAGGUUAAUAUUCCUGUACUUGGUGUUACUGCGAAGGGGGGACGGAGAAGGCUAUGUUGGCCGGGCGACGGUUGUCCCGGUUUAAGCGUGUAGGUGUGUGUUCCAGGUAAAUCCGGUUCACUUUAACACUGAGGCGUGAUGACGAGGCACUACGGUGCUGAAGCAACAAAUGCCCUGCUUCCAGGAAAAGCCUCUAAGCAUCAGGUAACAUCAAAUCGUACCCCAAACCGACACAGGUGGUCAGGUAGAGAAUACCAAGGCGCUUGAGAGAACUCGGGUGAAGGAACUAGGCAAAAUGGUGCCGUAACUUCGGGAGAAGGCACGCUGACACGUAGGUGAAGUGAUUUACUCAUGGAGCUGAAGUCAGUCGAAGAUACCAGCUGGCUGCAACUGUUUAUUAAAAACACAGCACUGUGCAAACACGAAAGUGGACGUAUACGGUGUGACGCCUGCCCGGUGCCGGAAGGUUAAUUGAUGGGGUCAGCGCAAGCGAAGCUCCUGAUCGAAGCCCCGGUAAACGGCGGCCGUAACUAUAACGGUCCUAAGGUAGCGAAAUUCCUUGUCGGGUAAGUUCCGACCUGCACGAAUGGCGUAAUGAUGGCCAGGCUGUCUCCACCCGAGACUCAGUGAAAUUGAACUCGCUGUGAAGAUGCAGUGUACCCGCGGCAAGACGGAAAGACCCCGUGAACCUUUACUAUAGCUUGACACUGAACAUUGAGCCUUGAUGUGUAGGAUAGGUGGGAGGCUUUGAAGUGUGGACGCCAGUCUGCAUGGAGCCGACCUUGAAAUACCACCCUUUAAUGUUUGAUGUUCUAACGUGGACCCGUAAUCCGGGUUGCGGACAGUGUCUGGUGGGUAGUUUGACUGGGGCGGUCUCCUCCUAAAGAGUAACGGAGGAGCACGAAGGUUGGCUAAUCCUGGUCGGACAUCAGGAGGUUAGUGCAAUGGCAUAAGCCAGCUUGACUGCGAGCGUGACGGCGCGAGCAGGUGCGAAAGCAGGUCAUAGUGAUCCGGUGGUUCUGAAUGGAAGGGCCAUCGCUCAACGGAUAAAAGGUACUCCGGGGAUAACAGGCUGAUACCGCCCAAGAGUUCAUAUCGACGGCGGUGUUUGGCACCUCGAUGUCGGCUCAUCACAUCCUGGGGCUGAAGUAGGUCCCAAGGGUAUGGCUGUUCGCCAUUUAAAGUGGUACGCGAGCUGGGUUUAGAACGUCGUGAGACAGUUCGGUCCCUAUCUGCCGUGGGCGCUGGAGAACUGAGGGGGGCUGCUCCUAGUACGAGAGGACCGGAGUGGACGCAUCACUGGUGUUCGGGUUGUCAUGCCAAUGGCACUGCCCGGUAGCUAAAUGCGGAAGAGAUAAGUGCUGAAAGCAUCUAAGCACGAAACUUGCCCCGAGAUGAGUUCUCCCUGAGACUUAGAGUCUCCUGAAGGAACGUUGAAGACGACGACGUUGAUAGGCCGGGUGUGUAAGCGCAGCGAUGCGUUGAGCUAACCGGUACUAAUGAACCGUGAGGCUUAACCUU